This 267-nucleotide ribosomal RNA is filed under the name Escherichia coli. RNAcentral's name for it is "partial 23S ribosomal RNA". It matches the Rfam family "Bacterial large subunit ribosomal RNA", at positions 2676 to 2925 of the family's 2925-position model. The record is from RNAcentral. Lineage: Bacteria; Pseudomonadati; Pseudomonadota; Gammaproteobacteria; Enterobacterales; Enterobacteriaceae.
UCCUAGUACGAGAGGACCGGAGUGGACGCAUCACUGGUGUUCGGGUUGUCAUGCCAAUGGCACUGCCCGGUAGCUAAAUGCGGAAGAGAUAAGUGCUGAAAGCAUCUAAGCACGAAACUUGCCCCGAGAUGAGUUCUCCCUGACUCCUUGAGGGUCCUGAAGGAACGUUGAAGACGACGACGUUGAUAGGCCGGGUGUGUAAGCGCAGCGAUGCGUUGAGCUAACCGGUACUAAUGAACCGUGAGGCUUAACCUUACAACGCCGAAG